UGGGGAAUUUUGGACAAUGGGCGAAAGCCUGAUCCAGCAAUGCCGCGUGUGUGAAGAAGGCCUUCGGGUUGUAAAGCACUUUUGUCCGGAAAGAAAUCCUUGGCUCUAAUACAGUCGGGGGAUGACGGUACCGGAAGAAUAAGCACCAGCUAACUACGUGCCAGCAGCCGCGGUAAUACGUAGGGUGCAAGCGUUAAUCGGAAUUACUGGGCGUAAAGCGUGCGCAGGCGGUUUGCUAAGACCGAUGUGAAAUCCCCGGGCUCAACCUGGGAACUGCAUUGGUGACUGGCAGGCUAGAGUAUGGCAGAGGGGGGUAGAAUUCCACGUGUAGCAGUGAAAUGCGUAGAGAUGUGGAGGAAUACCGAUGGCGAAGGCAGCCCCCUGGGCCAAUACUGACGCUCAUGCACGAAAGCGUGGGGAGCAAACAGGAUUAGAUACCCUGGUAGUCCACGCCCUAAACGAUGUCAACUAGUUGUUGGGGAUUCAUUUCCUUAGUAACGUAGCUAACGCGUGAAGUUGACCGCCUGGGGAGUACGGUCGCAAGAUUAAAAGCUCAAAGGAAUUGACGGGGGUCAUAGCUG
RNAcentral lists this ribosomal RNA (581 nucleotides) under uncultured bacterium. RNAcentral's name for it is "partial 16S ribosomal RNA". It matches the Rfam family "Bacterial small subunit ribosomal RNA", at positions 355 to 928 of the family's 1533-position model. The record is from RNAcentral.